This 90-nucleotide microRNA precursor is filed under the name Canis lupus familiaris (dog). Its description in RNAcentral is "mir-8799 microRNA precursor family". It matches the Rfam family "mir-8799 microRNA precursor family". Lineage: Eukaryota; Metazoa; Chordata; Mammalia; Carnivora; Canidae. The record is from Rfam by way of RNAcentral.
GUGGGGAGGCCAGAUCCUGGGCUGUGUACUGGCGCCCAGGGCUCCCGGGCCUGCGCUGUUAGAUUUGCGCUCCCGGACGCGCAGCCCCCU